RNAcentral lists this ribosomal RNA (468 nucleotides) under uncultured bacterium. RNAcentral describes it as "partial 16S ribosomal RNA". It matches the Rfam family "Bacterial small subunit ribosomal RNA", at positions 28 to 507 of the family's 1533-position model. The record is from RNAcentral.
GACGAACGCUGGCGGCGUGCUUAACACAUGCAAGUCGAACGGAAAGGCCCUGCUUUUGUGGGGUGCUCGAGUGGCGAACGGGUGAGUAACACGUGAGUAACCUGCCCUUGACUUUGGGAUAACUUCAGGAAACUGGGGCUAAUACCGGAUAGGAGCUCCUGCUGCAUGGUGGGAGUUGGAAAGUUUCGGCGGUUGGGGAUGGACUCGCGGCUUAUCAGCUUGUUGGUGGGGUAGUGGCCUACCAAGGCUUUGACGGGUAGCCGGCCUGAGAGGGUGACCGGCCACAUUGGGACUGAGAUACGGCCCAGACUCCUACGGGAGGCAGCAGUGGGGAAUAUUGCACAAUGGGCGGAAGCCUGAUGCAGCAACGCCGCGUGCGGGAUGACGGCCUUCGGGUUGUAAACCGCUUUCGCCUGUGACGAAGCGUGAGUGACGGUAAUGGGUAAAGAAGCACCGGCUAACUACGUG